Molecule: long non-coding RNA, 496 nt
Organism: Jatropha curcas
Lineage: Eukaryota; Viridiplantae; Streptophyta; Magnoliopsida; Malpighiales; Euphorbiaceae
Source: RefSeq, a predicted model, not a curated record
UUUCUUUCUUUCUUUUGUUCUGAAUCAAUUUACUUGACUGUGAAUUUGUGGCGAAGAAAAUUUUCCUUCUCUUCGUUUAUCAUAAUUCAAUAGCAUUAUGCUAACAGUUACAGGAUCUAGACUCAUGUUUAUCUUUUACAAAGAUGAUCUUUUUGGGCCAUCAUUUGCUAAGGAAAAUCUGCGGGAUGUAACAUUAAUAUGCAGAACUGCAUAUGUCUCUUCUGGAAUAACCACGUGAACCACCAAAUAGUUGGUCCUGGAAGAACUGUGGAGCAUUCAUCUGACGUUACAAUGUUUGUGCGGAUUGGAAAAUUUUAUGAUGUAUACAAAAUAAGACCUGUAAUGAGUGAUUAUGAUAAUCUGCUAGGCUAGUUAUGAACCAGGACUAUAUAGUUUGCAAUUUACAAUACUUUGGUUGUUAGCUCCUUUUUGUUGUACCUGCUUUUAUAUCCUGAUGUUAGCGAAAAGAGUGAAUAAAAUAUUAUUUUUGCACACC